RNAcentral lists this ribosomal RNA (192 nucleotides) under uncultured Klebsiella sp. RNAcentral's name for it is "partial 16S ribosomal RNA". It matches the Rfam family "Bacterial small subunit ribosomal RNA", at positions 340 to 524 of the family's 1533-position model. Lineage: Bacteria; Pseudomonadati; Pseudomonadota; Gammaproteobacteria; Enterobacterales; Enterobacteriaceae. The record is from RNAcentral.
UACGGGAGGCAGCAGUGGGGAAUAUUGCACAAUGGGCGCAAGCCUGAUGCAGCCAUGCCGCGUGUGUGAAGAAGGCCUUCGGGUUGUAAAGCACUUUCAGCGGGGAGGAAGGCGGUGAGGUUAAUAACCUCAUCGAUUGACGUUACCCGCAGAAGAAGCACCGGCUAACUCCGUGCCAGCAGCCGCGGUAAU